AUUUCCUACGGGAGGCAGCAGUAGGGAAUUUUCGUCAAUGGGCGCAAGCCUGAACGAGCAAUGCCGCGUGAACGAGGAAGGUCUUCGGAUCGUAAAGUUCUGUUGAAGGGGAAAAAGAGCGGAGAGAGGAAAUGGUCUCCGAUUGAUAUUACCCUUCGAGGAAGUCACGGCUAACUACGUGCCAGCAGCCGCGGUAAUACGUAGGUGGCGAGCGUUAUCCGGAAUGAUUGGGCGUCAAGGGUGCGUAGGCGGCCUGCUAAGUCUGGAGUGAAAGGUACCGGCUCAACAGGCACAGGAACUGGAAA
RNAcentral lists this ribosomal RNA (305 nucleotides) under uncultured bacterium. RNAcentral's name for it is "bacterial SSU rRNA". It matches the Rfam family "Bacterial small subunit ribosomal RNA", at positions 334 to 632 of the family's 1533-position model. The record is from RNAcentral.